UACGUAGGGUGCGAGCGUUAAUCGGAAUUACUGGGCGUAAAGCGUGCGCAGGCGGUUUUGAAAGUCAGAUGUGAAAUCCCCGAGCUCAACUUGGGAACUGCGUUUGAAACUCCAAAGCUAGAGUAUAGGAGAGGGGAGUAGAAUUCCACGUGUAGCAGUGAAAUGCGUAGAGAUGUGGAGGAACACCGAUGGCGAAGGCAAUCCCCUGGACCUGUACUGACGCUCAUGCACGAAAGCGUGGGGAGCAAACAGGAUUAGAAACCCCUGUAGUCC
Molecule: ribosomal RNA, 273 nt
Filed under: uncultured Methylophilaceae bacterium
Lineage: Bacteria; Pseudomonadati; Pseudomonadota; Betaproteobacteria; Nitrosomonadales; Methylophilaceae
Description: partial 16S ribosomal RNA
Rfam family: Bacterial small subunit ribosomal RNA
Source: RNAcentral